Molecule: long non-coding RNA, 367 nt
Filed under: Mytilus galloprovincialis (Mediterranean mussel)
Lineage: Eukaryota; Metazoa; Mollusca; Bivalvia; Mytilida; Mytilidae
Source: RNAcentral
AAAACGUUAUACAUAUGUUAUAUUUUAUAGUUAUAUAUAUGGUCUAUAUUUUGAUACUUUAAUCGUGAAAUGCAUUGUAAUAGAGAAAUAUUUAUCCUUAAACAAUAAGGUUUGUAUUAGUCUUAGUUAGAGAACUUUGUAUAAUUUGCAAAAAGAAAUUUAAGGUAAAUGAUCAAACAACUCUUCACAACAGACCACAAUGACACAGACUUUACAACUAUAGGUCACCGUACAGACUUUUGUUAUCAGCAAAGCACAUACCGCAAAGUCAGCUAUAAAAGACACCGAAAUGACAAAUGCAACUAAUUCAAACGAAAAUAAAAUAACGGCCUAAUGUAUGUAUAAAAAAUGGACUAAAACAACUAUG